This 26-nucleotide non-coding RNA is filed under the name Homo sapiens (human). Lineage: Eukaryota; Metazoa; Chordata; Mammalia; Primates; Hominidae. The record is from RNAcentral.
UCCCAGCCAUGGAGAAGGACCAGCCA